GAGAUGCAGGUCCAAUCCCUCAAUCAGGAAAAUCCCCCGGAGAAGGGAAUGGCUACCCACUCCAGUAUUCUUGAUGGGAAAAUCCCAUGGACAGUGGAGCCUGGUAGGCUACAGUCCACAGGAUUGCAGAGUCAGCCAUGACUGAGCGACUUAACACAAGGGGAGUACCAGCCGCCUGCCAUGUAGGGCAGGGGAGGAGGGAUGAGGGGAUGGCUAAGUGAACAACAGCGUUGCUGUCGGCUCUCUGCAGAGAGAGGGCACCAGCAGUCUCAGAGAACAGCAUCACUCUGCUCUUUCCCUAACAGAAGCAUAAAUAUGGCCCUUCUCUGCAAUGAGCAAUUUCCUUGGCUCUGCUGACACAAUGGGAUAUGUCCUCAGUGAGAGAAUUAAAUGUGGGUGUCACAGGACUAUUAGAGAAACAAAUAGCACCCCACACUUCCUCCUCCCCUCCUCUGCCUGCAUCUCCAUCUUUUCUCAGGCUGGCAUGAAGCCCCACACAGGCGUCCAGGUCCCAGCUUCGAACAUAGAGAUUUUUGAGAUGUCUGGGACUCAACUUUGUAAGGCUGAGUUGGCUUUUCAUUAGCUGGAUGCAGAAGCCUGUCCUCUGUUACCAUGGCAGCAUUUCUGAAAGAGGGUUCUAUGGGAUAAGGGAGAAUAAUCCAGUAUUCUCUAAGACUUUCCAAGACAGAAGAGUCUGGAAGACAGGAAAUCCAAGCCCUUCAUCCUGAAUCUUCCACCCUGAAGCUGUUCCACGUUAUGGAAGCUCUGAUCCUGUUUAUUCAGCAUCCUACCUGUCUCCUGGCAGGGGUCACACAGAAGGAGGGGAUGGCGAUUGGACUCCUGAAAGCUAUUGAAUGGAUCAGUGAUGGGAGGAUGUGGCUUUGGCUUUCACCUGACAAGCAUGGAUUCCACUGGACCUUUCUCAGAAGAACCUGUGAAGAGAUAAUGUAACGGUAAAAUGAAGGCAAUUUUUCUCACUGGGGGAUCCUUGUGCAAACCCACGAGCCCUUCAAAUCAGCACCCACAGACAUAGCAGACAUGGCAAAAAAAAGGAUUUUGACAGAGCACUUGUUAAAAUUGAGGGAUGAUUUUGAAAAACAGAGACAACUCUUAUGCAGGACAUUCUUGAGAUGGCACAAUCCAAAGUCAUGAAACAAACAUUUUAAAAAAGAAUAUAUAUGCAGUUGAAGCCAAUCUUUAUCCUGUCCUACUCCUAUUAAUUCCUCCAAGAUAACCAAAUAUCUUAAGGUAGGGUCAGCUAUCUCAAUUUUUUUAUUUUCCAAUCACAUAUAGAUAUCUCUAUAUACACCUACAUUAUAUACAACCUUACAUUACUUUGUGUACUUUUAAGGUUAUGUAUGGUGUAUUUCAAGACAAGAACUGAAAAUUAUGAGUUAAAUAAGUUUGGGAAAUACUGCAAGAUUUCUGCAAGAUUUUUCAGAAGCUUAAAGAUUAUUAUGAUUUUCAGUAUUCAUAAAUCUCACUUGACCAUGAGAUUAAAAGCAACAGUAGCAACAUAGUAACAACAACAAAGAAAUUAGUAGGUCUCUCUGCAGCUCAGGGUCCAGGGGAAUGAUUUUUGAAUGAAUAUAAAACCCUAAGCAGAAGGUGCAAAGGGAUCCUUGCAGAGUCUUCACUGCACCCCUGGACGAGAAAGCUGCAGGCUUCACAAACAAAGCAAGGCUCAGGUUUAGCUCAAGCGUGCAGCUGAACUGUCCUUGUCACGCUCCCUCGGGAGCCUAAGUGUGGCAACAGGCAUCUGUGUGACCUGGGGGUCCCUUGACAUCUGGCAGCAGCAGCAGGAUCAGCCCCAAUAGAAUAAGAUGCCCAGCUCCAGUCUGAUAGGAUGGCUGUAAAAGUGAAAUCAAUGGGAGCUCAUGACAGCAUCCUGUGAGCUGCAAAAUGCCAGCUUGGUACACCACCGCUGCCCUAGGCAGUGCCAAUCCCUGUGCUAGGCGUCACUGACACAGAAGAUAAUUUUAAAACAUCCAUAGCAGGCAGUUCUUGAGCAGUUACAGCAAGAGUUGUGCUGUGCUGACAUGUUCUUGGUGUUCUCCAUGUCCUCUUUUUUUUUUCUAUUUUUUAUUUAAAUAUUAUCAUUUUUAUUUUUACUAUGUUGCUUUGGUUUCUACAACAGUGCAGAUCAGCCAUAAUGACACAGACGUCCUCUGUCUCCUUAGGCUCCCUCCACUCCCCGCAUCCCAUCCCUCUGUGCCAUCACAGAGCACCAGACUGAGCUCCUUGUGCUACACAUUAGCUUCUCACCAGCUAUCCAUCACACACCCAGCUGUGUAUAUAUAUUCAUGCUGCUUUCUCCGUUAGUUCCCCUCUCCCCUCCCCCACUAUCUAGAAAAAUUAUAUUGGUGAACUUAUUUGCAGGGAAGGAAUGGAGACACAGAUAUACAGAAUGGACAUUCUAAUACUAUUUUUAUUGGCACAAUUAUUUAAUACUGUUAUUCAUGAGUGGGAGAACUGAGCUGCACCCCCAAGCAAUCAGACUUCCAGCUUAGCACUUAUCCUCCUUAUUGAUCACACCAUGAGCCUCUGAAAGGCAUGUCAUUGCUCUUGGUUUAAGAAAGAGAGAAUUGACUCUUAUGGAAUACCUGUAAUUUGCAUAAGGUCGUACUGCUGUCUAAAAGCAGAGCUGUCUUUCCAAGACAGAGUGAUGCUUCUGGUGGAAGUUGCUGAAGUAGCAAGAGCCAUGGCUGCUCCCAAACCCCAUCCCAACCAUGCUUUCUGCAAGUUUCACGUUUAGAGAUAAAUCCCUACCACUUAGGGUGGCCUGGCACAAUUGGCCAAAUCAUCAAUUUGACUAGGUAGAAUGAAAUCCUUUUGAAAAUAGUAGGCAAUAUUGAAACAAAUGUAAUGUUUUAUGUCUAUAUAGUCAAUUACACAUUUGUGAAGAGGCUUCCAUAUCAAUUUUUCAACAUGGUUUGGCGUCCCAAUACCUGCAGAGAGUAGGUAGUUGCCUUUCAAAAGUACACCAGAUUUACAUCUAUUCUGCUUGAAUCUCAGCUCAGCUAUGUAACAACACUGUGAUCAUAAAGAACUUCCAAGGUAAGUUCUUCCAAGGUGACUCCCCAGUAGUAGAGUCAACCUGCCAAUGCAGGAGAUGUGGGUUUGAUCCCUGGGUCAGUAAGGUUCCCUGGAGAAGGAAAUGGCAACCAACUGUGGUAUUUUUGCCUGAGAAAUGCCAUAGACAGAGAAGGCUGGUGGGCUACAGCUUAUGGGGUUGCAAAGAGUCAGAGCAACUAAACAACAAAAAAACAAACAUCUUAAAUAACUCCAAUCUAAGACCCUCCUUAAAAAAAAUAAUGUUAAUGUGACCAACUGUAUUGGUGAGUAAUAAAUUAGUAUUUGUUGAUUGCCCUUUCCA
This 3376-nucleotide long non-coding RNA is filed under the name Bos indicus x Bos taurus (hybrid cattle). Its description in RNAcentral is "lncRNA (ENSBIXG00000023779.1)". The record is from RNAcentral. Lineage: Eukaryota; Metazoa; Chordata; Mammalia; Artiodactyla; Bovidae.